UCAACGGCUUCUAUAGAAGCCACCCACAUCUAUAAAAGUCAAUA
This is a non-coding RNA of Nematostella vectensis (starlet sea anemone), 44 nucleotides long. Lineage: Eukaryota; Metazoa; Cnidaria; Anthozoa; Actiniaria; Edwardsiidae. The record is from Rfam.